GCUGAAGAACGUAGCGAAAUGCGAUAAGUAAUGUGAAUUGCAGAAUUCAGUGAAUCAUCGAAUCUUUGAACGCACAUUGCGCCCGCCAGUAUUCUGGCGGGCAUGCCUGUUCGAGCGUCAUUUCAACCCUCAGGCCCCCAGUGCCUGGUGUUGGGGAUCGGCCCAGCCUUCCUGUAAGGCCGCCGGCCCCGAAAUCUAGUGGCGGUCUCGCUGUAGUCCUCCUCUGCGUAGUAGCACAACCUCGCAGUUGGAACGCGGCGGUGGCCAUGCCGUUAAACACCCCACUUCUGAAAGUUGACCUCGGAUCAGGUAGGAAUACCCGCUGAACUUAAGCAUAUCAAUAAGCGGAGGA
RNAcentral lists this unclassified non-coding RNA (352 nucleotides) under soil metagenome. RNAcentral's name for it is "partial contains 5.8S ribosomal RNA, internal transcribed spacer 2, and large subunit ribosomal RNA". The stretch from base 3 to 120 matches the Rfam family "5.8S ribosomal RNA", at positions 37 to 154 of the family's 154-position model. The record is from RNAcentral.